Molecule: ribosomal RNA, 253 nt
Filed under: uncultured bacterium
Lineage: Bacteria
Description: partial 16S ribosomal RNA
Rfam family: Bacterial small subunit ribosomal RNA
Source: RNAcentral
UACGAGGGGGGCAAGCGUUGUUCGGAAUUAUUGGGCGUAAAGGGUGCGUAGGUGGUUCGGCAAGUCUUGUGUGAAAUCUUCAGGCUCAACUUGAAGUCUGCACAAGAAACUGCCGGGCUUUAGUAUGGGAGAGGUGAGUGGAAUUUCCGGUGUAGCGGUGAAAUGCGUAGAUAUCGGAAGGAACACCUGUGGCGAAAGCGGCUCACUGGACCAUUACUGACACUGAGGCACGAAAGCUAGGGGAGCAAACAGG